GGGGGUGUAGCUCAGCUGGGAGAGCGCUUGCUUCGCAUGUAAGAGGUCAGGGGUUCGAUCCCCCUCAUCUCCA
RNAcentral lists this transfer RNA (73 nucleotides) under Heliophilum fasciatum. It matches the Rfam family "tRNA". From Rfam's summary of the family: Transfer RNA (tRNA) molecules are approximately 80 nucleotides in length. Lineage: Bacteria; Bacillati; Bacillota; Clostridia; Eubacteriales; Heliobacteriaceae. The record is from Rfam by way of RNAcentral.